AUUGCAAUUUAUUUUAUAAAAAUAAUUUGAGGAAAGUCCGGGCUCCUUAAAGAUUAAAAUAGCUGGAUAAUUUCCAGUGUAGGUAACUAUGAGGACAGUACUACAGAAAUAAACAAUUUUUGUUUUUUAAAACAAAAAAAAUGGUGCAAUUUUUUAUUGGCAUUAUGAAAAGCCGAAUUAGUAAACCCCGUUUAGGAGCAAGGUCUAUGGGUAAUGGUUAGUCUUUUUCCGCCCUAUUUUUUUUGAACCGCUAAAAUAAUUUGGUAACAAGUUAGUUAGACAGAUAAUCACCAUCUUAUUUUUAAGAGAACAAAACCCGGCUUACUUU
This 328-nucleotide RNase P RNA is filed under the name Glaucocystis sp. BBH. RNAcentral describes it as "RnpB". It matches the Rfam family "Bacterial RNase P class A". Rfam says of the family: Ribonuclease P (RNase P) is a ubiquitous endoribonuclease, found in archaea, bacteria and eukarya as well as chloroplasts and mitochondria. Its best characterised activity is the generation of mature 5'-ends of tRNAs by cleaving the 5'-leader elements of precursor-tRNAs. Lineage: Eukaryota; Glaucocystophyceae; Glaucocystales; Glaucocystaceae. The record is from RNAcentral.